This 34-nucleotide ribosomal RNA is filed under the name Pleurophora saccocarpa. RNAcentral's name for it is "partial 18S ribosomal RNA". The record is from RNAcentral. Lineage: Eukaryota; Viridiplantae; Streptophyta; Magnoliopsida; Myrtales; Lythraceae.
UUGUCGAAACCUGCAAAGCAGAACGACCCGAGAA